Molecule: transfer RNA, 76 nt
Filed under: Candidatus Buchananbacteria bacterium
Lineage: Bacteria; Candidatus Buchananiibacteriota
Description: tRNA-Lys
Rfam family: tRNA
About the family: Transfer RNA (tRNA) molecules are approximately 80 nucleotides in length. Their secondary structure includes four short double-helical elements and three loops (D, anti-codon, and T loops).
Source: RNAcentral
GGGCGCAUAGCUCAGUUGGUAGAGCAACUCCCUCUUAAGGAGAUGGUCGAGGGUUCGAAUCCCCCUGCGCCCACCA